Molecule: ribosomal RNA, 458 nt
Filed under: uncultured bacterium
Lineage: Bacteria
Description: bacterial SSU rRNA
Rfam family: Bacterial small subunit ribosomal RNA
Source: RNAcentral
UACGGGAGGCAGCAGUGGGGAAUAUUGCACAAUGGGCGAAAGCCUGAUGCAGCUAUGCCGCGUGUAUGAAGAAGGCCUUAGGGUUGUAAAGUACUUUCAUCGGGGAGGAAAAAACAAAACUAAUAAUUUUAUUUCUUGACGUUACCCGAAAAAGAAGCACCGGCUAACUCCGUGCCAGCAGCCGCGGUAAUACGGAGGGUGCUAGCGUUAAUCAGAAUUACUGGGCGUAAAGAGCACGUAGGUGGUUUUUUUAAGUCAGAUGUGAAAUCCCUGGGCUUAACCUGGAAACUGCAUUUUGAAACUGAAAUACUAGAGUAUCGUAGAGGGAGGUAGAAAUUCUAGGUGUAGCGGUGAAAUGCGUAGAUAUCUGGAGGAAUACCUGUGGCGAAAGCGGCCUCCUAAACGAAUACUGACACUGAGGUGCGAAAAGCGUGGGGAGCAAACAGGGAUUAGAUACC